RNAcentral lists this unclassified non-coding RNA (668 nucleotides) under Leishmania donovani. RNAcentral's name for it is "gene:unknown". Lineage: Eukaryota; Euglenozoa; Kinetoplastea; Trypanosomatida; Trypanosomatidae. The record is from RNAcentral.
ACGCCAUUAUGCUCUUCAUGCUCGGAUUUGUGUGACUUUCUAUUCUUUGGAUGCUUCUCACUCAUGUGUACAUAUUAUGUGGGGUGUGCGUUGCGGUGGUGGUGCUGGGCUGAACGGCAAUGUGACCUUCUCUUUCUCUGGCCCUUUCUAACGCUCACCUUCCCCCUCCCCCGAUCUCUGCGCACAGCAGGUGUAGUGUGCGACGGCGGGCAUCAGCGCCGUUCUCGGCUGGCCGCGUGUCUUCCCCAGCCCUCUUUUUUCGCUUGUCUCCUUCGUCCAUUAUACAUGCGCACGCGCCCGUAUCUCCUUGUCUGGAUGGGUGUUUGCUGUCCCACUCAUUCCUAUGUGUCAGCGUGCGCCUCCGCUGUCUCUCUCCAAACAAACUGUUGGGACGGUGCACUCGGGACACUCGUAAGCGCCACGGGCCAACCAAAAUCUCUCCCUCCCUCCCUCCUUUUCAUCCCCCCAUGAUGUCGCGGAUUCCGCUAAUGCGACCACUCAUGAGCAGGGCAUCUCAAUUCACCUUCUGCUUCAACGCAUCGCGUGGCCAGCAGUUCGAACACCUACGAGAGCAGCUCGAACGACGUCACUCCUUGUUACUUGUCUUUGCCCCCCCGCCUCACUCCUACGCAUCUCUCUCUACCACCGACUGCCCCCCUCCCCCUCAG